Neoarius graeffei (lesser salmon catfish) is the source of this 162-nucleotide small nuclear RNA. RefSeq annotates it as U1 spliceosomal RNA. The transcript has a single exon. The record is from RefSeq and is a predicted model, not a curated record. Lineage: Eukaryota; Metazoa; Chordata; Actinopteri; Siluriformes; Ariidae.
UUCCGUACCGGGUUAUGGGAGACACCAUCAAGAAGGUGGUUUGCCCAAAGUGAGGCCCAGCCACUGCACUCAGGCUGUGCUGACCUUUUGCGAAUUCCUCAAAUGCAGGAGUCUCGAUCGCAUAAUUUUUGAUAGUGGGGACUGCAUUCGCGCUCUCCCCUU